GAGGAAGAUCUGGAGGCUGCUAGAAUAGUUAAAGAAGGAGGUGUAGAGUGCCGGGACUAAGGGAGUGGCAUCGGGGAAAGAAACGGAGAAAUGAGAGAGGCAUUGCAAAGGAAGCCUCUCUGGUACUUGGUGAUCGAUUGGUUGGAUGUGAUCUAGGACCUGUACCCUUAGUCACUGGCCCAGGAGGCAAUGCAGUGAUGAGAAAAGGACACCAAAGUUGAAGGUUGACAACCAGAAAUCCAACACUCGAAAUGAUACUGGCUACCUGUGUAACCUUGGGUGAAGGGAGGGGUGCCUUCUCAACCUUGUGAAUUUUGAAAGAUCUGGAGGGUACCUCAGCAUCCUGGCUUCCACAGUCUGGGCUCCAGAGCCAAUGCAGCUCUGAGGAGCGACCUUCAGGACAUCUGUCCAACAGAAGCUGAGAUGAUGAUUCAGUCAGUUAUCAUGCCACAUGAACUGAAGAAAUGAGCUAAGUUUUUGGCCUACUCUGACCUGGGGUGGGGUGAGGGGCAGGAAAUGUUAGUGUGUUUGUUCCUAUAAUAUUUUUGAAGUAAAUAUCCCUUUGUAAAACCAAUUGAUGGUAAUCAUUAGAUGGAACUGGGACUAGUCAGUGACAACUAGCAAUGGGGAAACAGAGUCAGUGGGGGCUCAAGCCAAAGGCAGUAGAGAAGAGCCACCCCUCCCAUCCUUCAAAUGCCCUAGAACCCUAGAAACCCAAGGGAUAAUAGAGCAUGCCUGACGCUGAUAGAGAAGGCCAAAGUGGACAUGCUACACACAAAAGAUGAAGACAAGAGCUAAAGUUGAAGACCAAAGGAUAUGCAGCCAAGUGUCUGAUAAUGAUAAGGGUAUCAUUUCUAAGAUGUAGAAAGAAUUGAUUAAAAUUUAUAAGAAUAAGAGUCAUUUCCCAACUGACACAUGGUCAAAGGCUAUAAACAGAUAGGCUUCCAAGGAAGAAAUCCAAACUAUCAAUAGCCAUAUGAAACAAAUGCUCUAAAUCAUCGCUGUCAAAUUCAUAUAGAAAUACAGAAAUUGGGCCACUAAACCACACAUAAGGAUUCAUAUGGGUGGCAUAUUGACUUAGAA
Molecule: long non-coding RNA, 1083 nt
Organism: Trichosurus vulpecula (common brushtail)
Lineage: Eukaryota; Metazoa; Chordata; Mammalia; Diprotodontia; Phalangeridae
Exons: 3
Source: RefSeq, a predicted model, not a curated record